This 581-nucleotide ribosomal RNA is filed under the name uncultured bacterium. RNAcentral's name for it is "bacterial SSU rRNA". It matches the Rfam family "Bacterial small subunit ribosomal RNA", at positions 102 to 694 of the family's 1533-position model. The record is from RNAcentral.
AAGGGAGAGGAAUACGUAGAAAUCUACCCCUGAGACCGGGAUAGCGUCGGGAAACUGGCAGUAAUACCGGAUAAUGUCUUAGGACCAAAGGUGUGAUUCCACUUGGGGAUGAGUCUACGCCCUAUUAGCUAGUUGGUGGGGUAAUGGCCUGCCAAGGCGAUGAUGGGUAGCGGGUGUGAGAGCAUGAUCCGCCUCACUGGGACUGAGAACUGCCCAGACACCUACGGGUGGCUGCAGUCGAGAAUCUUUGUCAAUGGACGAAAGUCUGAACAAGCGACGCCGCGUGCGGGAUGAAGGCCUUCGGGUUGUAAACCGCUGUCGUAGGGGAACAAAUGUACGGGGGUUCUCCCCUGUAUUUGAGUGAUCCUAGGAGGAAGGAGAGGCUAAGCUCGUGCCAGCAGCCGCGGUAAGACGAGCUCUCCAAACGUUAUUCGGUAUCACUGGGCUUAAAGAGUUCGUAGGCGGCCUAGCAGGUCAGGUGUGAAAUCCCACAGCUCAACUGUGGAAUAGCGCUUGAAACCGUUAGGCUUGAGGGAGAUAGAGGUAGGCGGAACAGAUGGUGGAGCGGUGAAAUGCGUUGA